GCCUAACACAUGCAAGUCGAACGGCAGCACAGGAGAGCUUGCUCUCUGGGUGGCGAGUGGCGGACGGGUGAGGAAUGCAUCGGAAUCUACUCUUUCGUGGGGGAUAACGUAGGGAAACUUACGCUAAUACCGCAUACGACCUACGGGUGAAAGCCGGGGACCUUCGGGCCUGGCGCGAAUGAAUGAGCCGAUGCCCGAUUAGCUAGUUGGCGGGGUAAAGGCCCACCAAGGCGACGAUCGGUAGCUGGUCUGAGAGGAUGAUCAGCCACACUGGAACUGAGACACGGUCCAGACUCCUACGGGAGGCAGCAGUGGGGAAUAUUGGACAAUGGGCGCAAGCCUGAUCCAGCCAUACCGCGUGGGUGAAGAAGGCCUUCGGGUUGUAAAGCCCUUUUGUUGGGAAAGAAAAGCAGCCGGUUAAUACCCGGUUGUUCUGACGGUACCCAAAGAAUAAGCACCGGCUAACUUCGUGCCAGCAGCCGCGGUAAUACGAAGGGUGCAAGCGUUACUCGGAAUUACUGGGCGUAAAGCGUGCGUAGGUGGUUGUUUAAGUCUGUCGUGAAAGCCCUGGGCUCAACCUGGGAAUUGCGAUGGAAACUGGGCGACUAGAGUGUGGCAGAGGAUAGUGGAAUUCCUGGUGUAGCAGUGAAAUGCGUAGAGAUCAGGAGGAACAUCCGUGGCGAAGGCGACUGUCUGGGCCAACACUGACACUGAGGCACGAAAGCGU
RNAcentral lists this ribosomal RNA (727 nucleotides) under Stenotrophomonas sp. S1IP1. RNAcentral describes it as "bacterial SSU rRNA". It matches the Rfam family "Bacterial small subunit ribosomal RNA", at positions 46 to 762 of the family's 1533-position model. Lineage: Bacteria; Pseudomonadati; Pseudomonadota; Gammaproteobacteria; Lysobacterales; Lysobacteraceae. The record is from RNAcentral.